Leptopilina boulardi is the source of this 362-nucleotide long non-coding RNA. RefSeq lists it as uncharacterized. The transcript has 2 exons. NCBI's taxonomy places the organism in Eukaryota, Metazoa, Arthropoda, Insecta, Hymenoptera, Figitidae. The record is from RefSeq and is a predicted model, not a curated record.
AAAAAAUGUAUCUUUCGAUAAUAGCAAUUUUUGUGCUUUUAUGCAUGUCACUUCUCACGGGUGAAGUUUUCGCCUGUGUCAAAAGAAAUGGCAAAUGUCGCAAAAAUAGAGAUUGUUGCAGUAAACGUUGUGGAAAAGUGUCAAAAAGAUGUGAUUAAUGGUAUUAUGAUCAGUCACUUCAUCUCCAAUGGAUGGCAAAUAUUUGAAAAAAAAAAAAAAAUUUUACAAUUUAUUUGAAAAUUUAAUUUUAACAUGAAGUAAAAUUAAAUUAUUAUCUUUAAAUUAUAUUUCUUUCUAUCUACCUCAAUUCUGUAUGUAUUUGACUAUUUUAAUAAAUUGUGAAAAAAUUGCAAUAACGCAAA